CCCUUAGAUGUUCUGGGCUGCACGCGCGCUACACUGAAGCUAUCAACACGCUUUCCCUCCCUGAGAAGGGCGGGUAACCUUUUGAAUCAGCUUCGUGGUAGGGAUCGGGGCUUGCAAUUGUUCCCCGUGAACCAGGAAUUCCUAGUAGACGCGAGUCAUAAGCUCGCAUCGAUUAAGUCCCUGCCCUUUGUACACACCGCCCGUCGCUACUACCGAUUGAACGUUUUAGUGAGGCAUUUGGACCGACGCAUCUCAGUUUAACCGCUGGUUUGUGUUGGAAAGACUUCCAAACUUGAGCGUUUAGAGGAAGUAAAAGUCGUAACA
This 324-nucleotide ribosomal RNA is filed under the name uncultured eukaryote. RNAcentral's name for it is "partial 18S ribosomal RNA". It matches the Rfam family "Eukaryotic small subunit ribosomal RNA", at positions 1470 to 1796 of the family's 1831-position model. The record is from RNAcentral.